CGGUGUAUACGUUAAAAAGGGCCUGCUGAAGAGGCUGUGCCUGGAUGCUAACAACUUAGGCUUUCUCUUCGCCGAGGGCCUCCUUAAAGCUCCUUUUUCAAUAGAAGACUGAAGGGAGGUCCUUCUUUGGGCAGCUGUCAAAUGCCUUCCACAGGAGGAUCCAUUGGAUUCCAAGAAGGUCAACACCAUAGUAGACUACACAACGCAACAUUUCAGCCUACUUCCAGGGCAGCUGGAGAACUCGUCCUCCUUACUAGCCCGGGGAUAUUAAAUGGAUGUGUUCAAGCACAAA
Molecule: long non-coding RNA, 292 nt
Organism: Dermacentor andersoni
Lineage: Eukaryota; Metazoa; Arthropoda; Arachnida; Ixodida; Ixodidae
Source: RefSeq, a predicted model, not a curated record